Molecule: non-coding RNA, 73 nt
Organism: Candidatus Roizmanbacteria bacterium
Lineage: Bacteria; Candidatus Roizmaniibacteriota
Source: Rfam
GGGCCUGUGGCUCAAUUGGCAGCGCGUCUGGCUGGCAGUCAGAAGGUUACGGGUUCGACUCCCGUCAGGUCCA